UGUUCAUCCAUAGAGCAGAGAUGACAAAUAGACUGGUGAUCAGUACGGCAGAACAUCUUCAUCACCUCAUCAUGAAGAGAGCAGAUGUUCUGUUGGAGCUUCUUGCAGGGGUCCACCAGCUUGUGUUUUUCAAAAGCAGGGGAUUCAAAGUGAGGCUGAAGGUGUUUCUCACAGUAAGAGAUACAACAGACCAGACAGGACUUUAGGGCUUUCAGUUUUCUCCCAGCGCAGACAUCACAGACCACAUCUUCA
Molecule: long non-coding RNA, 252 nt
Organism: Dicentrarchus labrax (European seabass)
Lineage: Eukaryota; Metazoa; Chordata; Actinopteri; Moronidae
Exons: 2
Source: RefSeq, a predicted model, not a curated record